GAGAUGGGGCCUCCCUAUGUUGCCCAGGCUGGUCUCAAACUCCUGGACUCAGAUGAUCUUCUCCCCUGGCCUCCCAAUGUGCUGGGAUUACAGGCAUGAGCCACCACACCAGGCCACCUGGAAAUUCGAAGCAAGUUAGAGAUUCACCUACACCAAGGGUGAGAGGGAUUGGGUUGUUGGAGAUGGAAGAGGUUUGUGGAGAUGAUCUGGCAAAGGCUGCUGGAGUAUAAUGAGACCCACCAUCCCUGCUCCUUACUUCGAGCAGAGAGAGGGGCCUUCAAAGGACCCCUCGGAAAAUUCAUGUCCCUGAAUCUAGAUGGACGCAGCUGACCUGGAUUUGACCAUACCUGUGGAUCUGAGAUUCCAAACUGGCCGGCUAACUUGAUGGCAAACUAAAGUGAAUUCCCAGGAGAAGGAUCAACCAGAUGCCCAGAGUCUUUGGUCGGGGGGUCAAAUAAUUCAUGAGAGUUUCUUGUAGACCUGAUGUAAUGAGCCCAUGAUGAAGAGAAGGAAUGGGGAUGCAUUCCAGAACUUGUUCAAGUGGCCGUUAGAAAAACACCAGGCUCCAGCGGCGGAGUAGCUGGAGCUGCUCUUUCUUUCCCAAAGGGGUAAGGGGAAUUCAGCAACCACAAACUAGAUUCCACGUGCCCAAGCCAACGGACCUUCAAUGCCUGAGACUGGAUGGAUCAGGGGUUGGCAAAAUGUGGCCCCUGGCCUGGCUGGCUGUUACUGUAACUGCAGAUUUAUUGGAACACAGCCACGAGCGUUCAUUGGCAUUACAAGGGCAGCGUUGAGUAGCUGCAACAGAAGAUGUGUGACCUGCAAAGCCUAAAAUAUUCACUAUCUGACCUUUUACAGAGGACAUUUGCUGACCCUCAGCAUAGGUUCUCGGAAAACCCCUCAAAAAUACUGGGGCAGCUGUGACAGAUUUGGACUUAAAAUAGUUUUCACACUCGGAGUGCAUGAAACCAUCUUAAAAUAUUACCAUUCAAGUAGAAACUUUCCAUCUCCUCUUACUUCUUGCUUUCCCUACAUCAGCCAAAUACAGUCAGAAACUUCUGUGGGCGGAGGAGCAAAGAGAGAAAUGACCGGCCUUCCUUACCCACUGGAAGAUUCCAGACCUCAGCAGACCCCAGUGUUGGGUGGAUGAAUGGGAGGAAGGACAGUGUGAGAUUUUACUGGUCUGAAUCUGUUGCCUAAGCUGGAGUGCAGCUGGAGUACGAUCUCGGCUCACUGCAACUUCUGCAUCCCAGGCUCCAACAAUCCCCCUGCCUCAGUCUCCCAGAUCAACUUGAAAAACAACCGAGUGAAUAUCUAAAGAUGAAAAACUGGAAAUUGGAAACUCAAUAACUGGAUACAUCACAGAUUACAGAAAAACAGAGCUGGUGAAAUUACUCAGACCGUAGCACAGACAAACGCGGAAAUGGAAAAUCUGAGCAGUUAAGCCACAUGGAGAGGAAAGUAAUAUCAGUCAACAUUAAAGCAUGUCUAAUGCUUCCUAAAGGAGAGAACAGAGAAAAAGGAGAAAAGGUAAGCGUUUGAAAGAGAAUGAUGAUUGAGCACUUUCUUGGACUGCUGGAAAAACCAUCUCUUAGAUUCUGGAAGCCCAAGCAAUCCCAAGUAGAGUAAAUUAAAAGAAAUUCAACACCAAGAUAUAUAAUAAAAUUGCAGAACACCAAAGUUUAUUAAAAAAAAAACAAACAACCUUAAAGUUAUCCAGAGGGAAAGGAUAAAUUGCUUAACAAUUGGUUAACUAUAUAAUUUAUUGGCCAAAUUUAUUGACCAAAUCAGGAUACCAGGAUACCAGGAUACUCUUUUUUUUUUUGACGGAGUCUCUCACCCAGGUUGGAGUGCAGUGGCGCAAUCUCUGCUCACUGCAACCUUGGCAUCCCAGGUCCAAGUGAUUCUCUUGCCUCAGCCUCCCUAGUAGCUGGCACUACAGGCAUGCACCACCAUGCCCAGCUAAUUUUUUUGUAUUUUUAGUGGAGACGGUGUUUCGCCAUCUUGGCCAGGCUGGUCUAGAACUCCUGACCUCCCGUGAUCUGCCCACAUCAGCCUCCCAAAGUGCUAGGAUUACAGGCAUGUAAUUACAUUACACCGUGCCCGGCCAAACCAGGAUACUCUUGAGAAUGAAAGGGGUGCUAACUAACCGGUGAAGAGUAUCACAGAAAUAAAUAGGAAUUAUGGCAGGCAAAUUAGGGCAUAUGUCAAAAUCUAUAAAAAAAUAACAAUUCCAUUGACAGCAAGGACAAUGAAGGUCAGGAAGACAAUGCAUAACAUCUUCAAAGCACUGAAAAUAUAUUCAGCUGGAACUGCAUGUAACCAAACUCUCUUUUAGUAACAAGGGACAAAGAAAAACACAUUUAGAGAAGCAAAAACUGAGAAGUCAUGACGAACAGACUCCCUCCAAAGUAAUUUCUUUAUAAGAGAACAAAAGAAUCUCAGAAAGAGUCUAAGGGGCAUGAAUGUGAAUAAAGAAAAUUCAUAUGACUGAUAAGGUUAUGAUAAAAAUGUUCAAUGUAUAAGACCACAAAAAUUAAGAUAUAUACACAAAUUUCUAUACAAAAAAUAGCAUAAAUGUCAGGAGGAGAAGAAAAUGGGAGAAAGGCCAACCGAGGCUCUUAGAUUUUGGGGAGGAGGGUAAAGCUGUUGAUUAACUUUACAUUUUGUUAAAUUAAACAUGCAUGUUGUAUUUUCUGGGCCAUUACUAAAAACAGAAAUAAUUUAUCAUUUAGAAAAUACUAAGGAAUGGAACAAAAACUUAAUCCAAAGCAGAGCAAGAAAGGACUAAAAGGGAGAUAAACUUGGGAGAAAAUUAGAAAAUACAAAAUAAUAGUAAUCACAUUAAGUAUAAACGGACUAAUAUCUGCAGUUCAGAGAUAAACAUUGUCAGACUAGAUUUUUUUUAGAAAUCUAAUUAUAUUCUGUUUAGAAGAAGUAAACUGAACAGAACACAGUAAGGCUUAACUGGAAAAGAUAUAUUUACGAAGACGAAAGUAGGAGAAUUAUUUUAAUAAUAGAAAAAAUAGACAUCAGAAAUAAAAACAUUAAUGACAAUGAAGAAGAUUACUACAUGUUCAUAAAAGUUGCAACUCACCAGAAAGAUGUUCCAUUCUAAAUUUAUACAAAUUCAAUAAAAUAGCUUCAAAAUAUAUAAAGGUUAAUUUGGAAGAAUAUAGGAAGAAUUUUACAUACCAGUCGUGGUAGUGGGGGAUUCCAAUGUACCUCUUUAGCAAUUGAUAGAUCAAGCAGGCAAGAAAACGUAAGCUGGAUCUAAAGGUCAUUACAUAUAAAAAUUACAUUUUGGGCCACAAAGCAAAUGUCAAUGAAUAUUUGAAAAACCUAUUUCAUAUAGACAACAAUCUCUGGCCAUAGCACAAUUAAAUUAGAUACCAAUAGCAAAAUGUUCAUUCUACACACUCAAAAAUCAAAGUUUUAAAAAUUAAAAAUAAGCUGAAUCAUCCAUGGGUCAAAAGAAGUUCUAACUUCUUUUUUUUUUUUUUUUUUUUUGAGACAGAGUCUCACUUAUCACCCAGGCUGGAGUGCAGUGGCGCGAUCUCAGCCCACUGCAACCUCUGCCUCCUUGGUUCAAGCGAUUCCGCUGCCUCAGCCUUCCAAGUAGCUGGGAUUACAGGCAUGCGCCACCAUCCCUGGCUAAUUUUUGUGUUUUUAGUAGAAACAGGGUUUCACUGUGUUGGCCAGGCUGCUCUCCUGACCUCAGGUGAUCCGCCUGCCUUAGCCUCCCAAAGUGCUUGGAUUAUAAGCAUGAGCCACCGUGGCCCAGCCUAGAAAUUCUAACUUCUUAGAAAAUAUUUGGGAUUACAAAGUAAGGAAAAUGCUGUACAUUAACACUUGCGUAUUGCAAUAAAAGCUGUACUUAGCAAAACAACAGCAACAAACAAAAAAAACCACUCAUAGCCUUAAAUUUUAAAUCUUUUUGGGUUUAAAAUGUACCCAAAUAAUACAGAAGAAAGAAAACAUUAAAUAAAUAUACCUCUCAUUACUUUAUGGCUGCUAUUUAACAUUGUUAUUCUUCUGUUUCUCUUCUUAUUUUUGUUGGUCUGCUUCUGUUGCUAUAUAUUUUAUCUUUAUCUUGUUAAUUUUGGAGUUCAAUCAUAAUAUUUCAUUCAGUUAAUCACCUGGCUGUCUCCUGCUCUCUAAAUCAGACCAAAUGACUCUAUUGUCCUAUUAUUUCGAUGCUGUCUCUCCCUCUGAGCUCCACUGUCUCCUCUACUAAUUUCUUCUUGAUUCCUUCAUAUUUUGCUCACCACCUAACGGAAUGAAAUCUUUAGAAUUCUUCAUUUUCCCCUUUUCUUCCUUCUCUCAUAUCCCUCAGUCCUUAAUUAAACUUUGAGUUGAUUUCACUUCCUCUUGCGUUCUUAAUUCCAGUGUAUUGCUAACAUAGUUUAAUACACCAGAUUUUCACUU
Symphalangus syndactylus (siamang) is the source of this 4428-nucleotide long non-coding RNA. RefSeq lists it as uncharacterized. NCBI's taxonomy places the organism in Eukaryota, Metazoa, Chordata, Mammalia, Primates, Hylobatidae. The record is from RefSeq and is a predicted model, not a curated record.